UCGUACAAAAUGUGCGAGGCAUGCAAGGGCUGUCGCUGACUCAAAGAGUCGUGCACGCCUCUGCUCUCGCAUAACAAUCCAUCUCACCCUUUGUGCAUCACCGCGUGGGCACACCCUUUGGGAUCGGACCGAUCUUGGAGGGGUCUCACGUUUUCACACAAACCCCCCCAUCUAAAAGUGUAGAAUGACCUUGUGUAUAUGCAAUAAAUA
This 210-nucleotide unclassified non-coding RNA is filed under the name uncultured Lactarius. RNAcentral describes it as "sequence contains ITS1". Lineage: Eukaryota; Fungi; Basidiomycota; Agaricomycetes; Russulales; Russulaceae. The record is from RNAcentral.